GCAAGUGUAAGUUAAUGGUAGACAAACUCUCUUCCAAAGAGUCAGUACAAGUUUGAAUCUUGUCACUUGCA
This 71-nucleotide transfer RNA is filed under the name Basidiobolus meristosporus CBS 931.73. It matches the Rfam family "tRNA". From Rfam's summary of the family: Transfer RNA (tRNA) molecules are approximately 80 nucleotides in length. Lineage: Eukaryota; Fungi; Basidiobolomycota; Basidiobolomycetes; Basidiobolales; Basidiobolaceae. The record is from Rfam by way of RNAcentral.